GCCCAGAGAACCUUGAGGCAUCUGGAGGGAAAUGGGAAGUCACAGAGGCAGCGGUGAGGACGGAGGUGGAGGAAACUCACUCCAGGCCAGCUCAUCCUCCAAGUCCAGACUUCCCUGAGUGCUCUUGGAGGUGAAUGCCACUGGUCCUCACCGUGGUGGACGCUACCUAACACCCGUGAGUCUGGGUUCUCACGGCGCCCCCUGGGAACCCCCAGGUCUAUGUCCUAGCAUGCUGCCUCUCCCACCUCAGUUUAUAGGUAACUGACGGCGGGACCGCUUAUGCAACCUAAUUUCUUAGUUGGCUCUGUCCCGUUUAAGAGGAGGACUUGGAUUUUUUUUCUUCCUAAGUAAGCAGGGAGAGGGUGCGUGCGUGCGUGCAUGCGUGUGUGUGUUUGUGUGUGUGUGUGUGUGUGUGCAGGUGGUUAAUCACAUAACAUGGAGAAAAUGAGUUAACGUAGGGAGACAUGGUUUGCCAUGGACACUGUUGUGAUUUUA
Long non-coding RNA from Leopardus geoffroyi (Geoffroy's cat), 495 nucleotides. RefSeq lists it as uncharacterized. The record is from RefSeq and is a predicted model, not a curated record. Lineage: Eukaryota; Metazoa; Chordata; Mammalia; Carnivora; Felidae. The transcript has 2 exons.